Molecule: ribosomal RNA, 253 nt
Filed under: uncultured bacterium
Lineage: Bacteria
Description: partial 16S ribosomal RNA
Rfam family: Bacterial small subunit ribosomal RNA
Source: RNAcentral
UACGUAGGCAGCGAGCGUUGUUCGGAGUUACUGGGCGUAAAGGGUGUGUAGGCGGUUGUUUAAGUUUGGUGUGAAAUCUCCCGGCUCAACUGGGAGGGUGCGCCGAAUACUGAGCGACUAGAGUGCGGGAGAGGAAAGCGGAAUUCCCGGUGUAGUGGUGAAAUGCGUAGAUAUCGGGAGGAACACCAGAGGCGAAAGCGGCUUUCUGGGCUGUAACUGACGCUGAGGCGCGAAGGCUAGGGGAGCAAACAGG